Molecule: ribosomal RNA, 775 nt
Filed under: uncultured Neocallimastigales
Lineage: Eukaryota; Fungi; Neocallimastigomycota; Neocallimastigomycetes; Neocallimastigales
Description: partial large subunit ribosomal RNA
Rfam family: Eukaryotic large subunit ribosomal RNA
Source: RNAcentral
GUAGUCUCGCACAGAUGCAUAUCAAUAAGCGGAGGAAAAGAAACUAACAAGGAUUCCCCUAGUAACGGCGAGUGAAGCGGGAAGAGCUCAAAUUUGAAAUCUUAAAGGGUUUCCCUUUACGAAUUGUAGUUUAAAGAAGUGUUUUCUGUUGAGGUUUUGGUAAAAGUUCUUUGGAAUAGGACACUCAUAGAGGGUGAGAAUCCCGUAUUUGACCUUUACUUUCAACUUUGUGAUACACUUUCAAAGAGUCGGAUUGUUUGGGAAUGCAGUCCAAAAUGGGUGGUAAAUUUCAUCUAAAGCUAAAUAUUGGCGAGAGACCGAUAGCGAACAAGUACCGUGAGGGAAAGAUGAAAAGAACUUUGAAAAGAGAGUUAAACAGUACGUGAAAUUGUCAAAAGGGAAGCGUUUGACACCAGUGUUGUUUUUCUGAAAAUCAAUUAAAGAACUGUUUAUGCUAAGCUGUUUAGACUUUAUCAGCUAUCUGUUUAGUUUUGAGCUUUUCUUUAAUGCACUUUUCAGUUAACAAGUCAACAUCAAUUUCUUUUGCUGUAAAAAAGCUUGAGGAAGGUGGCUUGAGAUUCGUCUUAAGUGUUUAUAGCCUCUUGCCUAUGCAGUCGGAGAGAUUGAGGUCUGCAGCGUAGAUCCUUCGGGGCUAAAUGCAUUUGUGCUAAGUUAUAGCAUUUUAUAGACAACUUGUUGACUAUGAUUUGUCUUGUAGCUUACUCGCUUAUGUUAUUUUACCUACGCUUAGGAUGUUGAUCUGUAGUGCGUGCGC